Long non-coding RNA from Oncorhynchus tshawytscha (Chinook salmon), 1124 nucleotides. RefSeq lists it as uncharacterized. NCBI's taxonomy places the organism in Eukaryota, Metazoa, Chordata, Actinopteri, Salmoniformes, Salmonidae. The record is from RefSeq and is a predicted model, not a curated record. The transcript is spliced from 3 exons.
UCCAGUUUCAGUUAAUGUGAAAGAUAACCGGUUGUCAGCGUCUUUAUUCAUCAAACCCUGUCUGUAAAGAGAUGCUGGGGCGACCAACGAAAUCUCGAGUACAUGGUUUGUCAUAAUAAAAUGAAUGUUAGUACUAGAUAAAUGUGCCAGCAUUUAAGUAUACGUUUAUCGUCUGCAUUAGAGAGGUUACUCCGUUGAAUGUAGACUGACCCUGAAUUCAUAGAACGUGAAAAUAGCCAGUUAACCGGCGGGAGCAAAGCAGAGAUCGAGCUCUGUGUGGAAAGAUGUCGUCCGUGCAGAAAACGAUGUCUAAUCUUCGCUCCCGAGUGGAGGGGUACGAAAAGACCGAGGACACGGCAAUCUCAGAGAAGACCUCCUUAGUUGACCAAGAAGACGCACGACUGAUAUUCCUCAAUCAGCCACAAUUGACCAAGUUCUGCAGCAAUCACUUCAGACAAUACUGUGUGGUACCUGGGCUUCUUCCUGGAAUGGAUUCUUAGAGAGAAGCAGAAUUCCUUUGCCUGCGUGACAUUGUAGCAGAACUGUAUCCUUCUCGAUGGAUUAGACGACAUGCUGGAUUUCAAGCAGAAGAUGACUCGAGGAGCUAAAUGGCAGUUUGAUCAUGACAACACUCCUCACAUAUGUACAAGUGUUCCCUGAACUUACAGGAUGUUUCUUCAAGACCACCUCUCCCAUCAUCUUCUAAUAACCAGUUAUCUUAGCUACAGAUUGUUACACCAGAUAAUGUGAUUUAACCAAAGAUUAUUGGUAUCCUUUACUGGGAGGUACAGGAUAGUUGCUUUUUGGUGUAGCACAGAAUUUUCUACCAACCUUAGCUUGGUGAUGCUGUCUUCAUCCUCGAUUUGUGGAAACGGGUAUGGAAGGACCACCAGAGGGCAUGCUGGGCUCACGGAUAGUAGCCCAACAAGGCAUGGGAGACAAGGUAACCAGAGGCAAUUAAGCACAGCUGACGGUACUAAUGACAUAUUCUCCUUCCCCUAUAAGAGAGAGUAUGGAACCGGGGGCGGGGGGACAAACUAUCUCUAGAAGAUGGCCACAGAGACAGAGGAGCUAUCCAUGAAGAACCACUAAGACGGUGACAAUCUCGUGACUUUUGUUGUAGU